Molecule: long non-coding RNA, 980 nt
Filed under: Hordeum vulgare
Lineage: Eukaryota; Viridiplantae; Streptophyta; Magnoliopsida; Poales; Poaceae
Description: long non-coding RNA (HVUL_LNC010602)
Source: RNAcentral
UAACAGCACCGUCGUCUAUGGCCUCGCGCAAUGCCGCGGCGACGUCUCCGCCAGCGACUGCUCCGCCUGCCUCGUGGACGCCGCCAAGCAGCUCCCCGCCGCCUGCAGCUACCUAUCCGACGCUAGAAUAUGGUACCACAGUACGACUUGCAGUAAUUAUUACUGGAAUCUUAGUUCAAUCGAGCCGAAAAAAUCGAUGGAUUUGCAUGCAUGCUCAAUCAUUUAACUGAGCUUGCGCUGUACGCCCGCGCGUGCUGCGUGCAUGCAGGUACGACUUCUGCUUCAGGCUGGCCAUAGCGGGGAGUAAUAUAGUAGUAACAUCACACAUUACAAUGCAAAUUUGCUUAUGUGACAGUGAGUUAAUGAGGAGAGAGGUGCUUGUGGUAACUAGCUAUGUUACAGUAACAUCACACAUACCAAUACAAAAUGAGUCUAUAUCCUAAUUAAUAUGACAUCCCACAAAUGUUACUACCCACUAUGGAGGUAGUAACAUAGACCAGUAACAUGUGCAUGUUACUUGGCUAAGUUACUCCCCACUGUGAGCAGCCUCAUGCGGUACGACAACACAGACUUCGUCGGACACUCGGACACGGGCGCCGGCGUGAUCCUGGUGAACGUGCAGGCGGCGGACGACCCCAAGCCGUUCAAGACGGCGGUGGGGAAGGUGAUGAACAAGGCGACGGCGAAAUCGUCAGCGUCGGGCAGCGCGGGGCUCGGCAGGUCCAAGUACCAGUACACGCCGUUCGUCACCAUCUACGGCCUGGCGCAGUGCACGCGGGACCUCGCGCCGCUGGCGUGCGCGCAGUGCGUCUCGGUGGCGCUGUCCAAGUUCGGCGACUACUGCGGCGCGCAGCAGGGCUGCCAGAUCAACUACAGCAGCUGCAGGGUGCGCUACGAGAUCUACCCGUUCUACUUCCCGCUCGACGGCGCCGCCAAUGGACGCGCCACUACCGAUAUGACAAAAUACACCAAGAUCGUCG